RNAcentral lists this transfer RNA (88 nucleotides) under Pseudomonadales bacterium. Its description in RNAcentral is "tRNA-Ser". It matches the Rfam family "tRNA". Rfam says of the family: Transfer RNA (tRNA) molecules are approximately 80 nucleotides in length. The record is from RNAcentral. Lineage: Bacteria; Pseudomonadati; Pseudomonadota; Gammaproteobacteria; Pseudomonadales. RNAcentral also lists the same sequence under 1 other name.
GGAGAGGUGGCCGAGUGGUCGAAGGCGCCUGACUCGAAAUCAGGUAUACCGCAAGGUAUCCAGGGUUCGAAUCCCUGCCUCUCCGCCA